UACGGCUCAGUAACACGUAGUCAACAUGCCCAGGGGACGUGGAUAACCUCGGGAAACUGAGGAUAAACCGCGAUAGGCCAUAAUUCCUGGAAUGGUUUAUGGCUGAAAUCUAUAUGGCCCCUGGAUUGGACUGCGGCCGAUCAGGCUGUUGGUGAGGUAAUGGCCCACCAAACCUAUAACCGGUACGGGCUCUGAGAGGAGAAGCCCGGAGAUGGGCACUGAGACAAGGGCCCAGGCCCUAUGGGGCGCAGCAGGCGCGAAACCUCUGCAAUAGGCGAAAGCCUGACAGGGUUACUCUGAGUGAUUCCCGCUAAGGGGAUCUUUUGGCACCUCUAAAAAUGGUGCAGAAUAAGGGGUGGGCAAGCCUGGUGUCAGCCGCCGCGGUAAUACCAGCACCCCGAGUGGUCGGGACGAUUAUUGGGCCUAAAGCAUCCGUAGCCGGCCACGCAAGUCCUCCGUUAAAUCCACCCGCUCAACGGUUGGGCUGCGGAGGAUACUACGUGGCUAGGAGGCGGGAGAGGCAAGCGGUACUCAAUGGGUAGGGGUAAAAUCCUUUGAUCCAUUGAAGACCACCAGUGGCGAAGGCGGCUUGCCAGAACGCGCUCGACGGUGAGGGAUGAAAGCUGGGGGAGCAAACCGGAUUAGAUACCCGGGUAGUCCCAGCUGUAAACGAUGCAGACUCGGUGAUGGGAUGGCCUCGAGCCAUCCCAGUGCCGCAGGGAAGCCGUUAAGUCUGCCGCCUGGGGAGUACGGUCGCAAGACUGAAACUUAAAGGAAUUGGCGGGGGAGCACCACAAAGGGUGAAGCCUGCGGUUCAAUUGGAGUCAACGCCGGGAAUCUUACCGGGGGAGACAGCAGAGUGAAGGUCAGCUGAGACUUUACCAGACAGCUGAGGGAGGUGCAUGUCGUCGCAGCUCGUGCGUGAGUGUCCUGUAAGUCAGUACGAGCGAGAUCCUGCCUCUAGUGCUACCUUUACUCUCAGA
RNAcentral lists this ribosomal RNA (983 nucleotides) under uncultured archaeon. RNAcentral describes it as "bacterial SSU rRNA". It matches the Rfam family "Archaeal small subunit ribosomal RNA", at positions 84 to 1082 of the family's 1478-position model. The record is from RNAcentral.